UCUUGUAUAAAGCUUGAGAUUGUAGUGAGUUCGUCGAUCAGUCAGUAAUACAAGAAAUUCAUUUUCUACAUUCUCUCUCUCUCAUUUCCUUGUCCUCCUCCUCCUUUUCCCCUUUCUUCAAUUUCCUUCCCCCCUUUCCUCUGUUUCUGUUUGGUUAUGGCCUAGUCGCAACAUUUGGUAUCGGAGCAAUCUGAUCCUGAGGUUUUGGGUGAUCCUACUAUCGCGACAAUUUACAAACUGGUGAGAAAGAACAAGCAAGCUAUGGUUGUUGAGAACCCAAGAUUACAUAAUCUACAAGAGCAUAUGCAGUCGCUGAAUAAAAAGAUUCAAGAACUGAGUUUGAGGCUGUGCAAGGUUGAACAAACGAUGAGUCAGAUGAUGGAGAUGGUGAUGCAGAUGAUGAAGGCCUCGCAAGGAAAAGGUAAAGACCCAUGAUUCCUGAAACUCAGUUCGAUAUGUAUGAAAUUAGGGUUAAUUCUAAUGAUAUAAGGGCUAACAAUCAUGAAUCAAGGGGUAUUUUGCUCUGCCUAAAGGAAGUGAAAAUGGGGAUUCUAGUAAUAACUCUCAAGGGCAAAGAGAGUUUCGGUAAUUCUGGGAUGAAACUGAAAGUGGAUUGGCCUCAAUUUGAUGGUAGUAACCCUAGUGGUUGGGUUUUUCGAAACAUAGAGGGCGUUAUUGUUGAGAAUGUUUCAGUUAAAGGAGAAAAUGGGAAAGUUUAUGAAGAAAAAAACUGUGAAAAAAUGGACUGGAAUCUUGGUGGUAGUUUAUUGGAGUGGAGAACUGCAGUCACAUAAUGCUUAAGGAGAAUGCGUUUGAAAUUAGGAGAAGACACAAAAAGAAAAUGUGUUCCUUGUCAAUGGAGAAGUCAGGCAUUGAAACAGUUUGUGAAAAUGCCAAAGUGAAUCGCUAAGGUUUUAUGUUUCUUGAUAAGAAGAAUUCU
Molecule: unclassified non-coding RNA, 940 nt
Filed under: Hevea brasiliensis (rubber tree)
Lineage: Eukaryota; Viridiplantae; Streptophyta; Magnoliopsida; Malpighiales; Euphorbiaceae
Source: RNAcentral